Long non-coding RNA from Gopherus flavomarginatus (Mexican gopher tortoise), 2297 nucleotides. RefSeq lists it as uncharacterized. The transcript is spliced from 6 exons. The record is from RefSeq and is a predicted model, not a curated record. NCBI's taxonomy places the organism in Eukaryota, Metazoa, Chordata, Testudines, Testudinidae.
AAAAGCAAGCGGCGGCUUCAUGCUCAGGCCCAGCAAGGGGGAGCUGGUGCUGAGAUGAGCUGGGGCAGGGGGGCCUCCCGCGUCGCAGCAGGUAACUCAGAGGGGGUGGGGGUGCACAGGGGAACCGCUCCCCAUCCCAGCUCACCACCGCUCUGCCUGCGCCUCCCUGGGACUGAGCUUUAAGCCACCGCUUUCUUCUCAGCCCUCCCAGGCUUCCCACGCGAACAGGUGAUUCGUGGGAAGUGUGGGGGCUGUGAGCUUGGCCUGACCUGGUGCUACAGGCUCUGUGCAGCGCCAGUGUGGACCAGCUCCAGCCAAGCAGCGCUGCUGUAGUACCACCAGCUAUCUCCAGGCAGCACAGCCAUUGGUGCAUAUUUGAGCCGUGUGGUCGAGAAAGCAGAUGGAAAGAGUGAAAUUCUUCAAAAUGCUAUAUUAUUGCUUCCUAACCAUACACCAGGUCAUUGGGUUCUUGCGAUACUUCAUCAAAUGAUUAACUAGCAAAUCCUCAUCUGAUUGGAAGAGUAAAAUUGUUCAGCAUACCAGACAAAGUGAUGGCCACAACUGUAGACCACUCAUCUUAAAGAAAGCGUGGAGGACUAUUGCAUAUACUACAACCUUGUCAUUUGUGAAAAGGAAAGUGAGGAUUGCACAAUGUUGUUACUUAUCAAAGGUCCAGUGUGAUUCUUGCAAGAGGUGGGCACAUAUGCCCUGCAUUACAGAAGGAACCAAUCAAGAAAACCUGACUGACGAGAAGACAGAAUACAAGUGCAAAAAGUGUGCAAAGUUCACUUCUUUACCAAAAAAUAACAUUGUUUAAAUGCUUGAUGUUCAAAACAUCAUGGAACCAAAAGAAAACUCUCUUUAUUUAUAUACCAGAUUAUAAUAAAGGUUUUUUAAUUUGAAAAAAUUAUUCUCUGUAUUUGUGUCCCAACUAGCUGCAAAAGAAGAGGGUUGCUGUUUGUGCCGCUACACUGGGCCACCCCACCAGACAACUGAGGUGAGCAGCUCCCACCGUAAAGCAACGCCAUCUCCGACCACGCCGUUGUAAAAGGCCGUGGCCUCUCGCCAUGCUACCGCAAAGCAACGCCGGGCUGAAGGCACAUGUGUAGCAGCUACUGCCACUCCAGCUCCUGACACAGGCAAACCAGCUGUUCUAGUUAUGGCUGAUUGCUCUGCUGGAGAAGCAUGGUGCGGCCCACCUAGAACAUCCCCGCUAGACCACAGAGCCCAGCAAGGCAGCAACAUCCCAUCUAGAACCCGCAGUGCAGGCCUUCUAGCACACACGCAACUGGGCGCCACAGCAUCUAAACGAGAACCCCCCAUGCAGGCCUUCUAGAACAUCCCCGCUAGCGUGCCGGCAGCUGAGGGCCACAGCAUCUCAUCGAGAACUCAUGGUACAAGCCUUCCAGAACAUCCCCGCUAGCACACAAGCUGGUGGGGCGGAAAACAUCUAAACUAGAACCUACAGUGCAGGCUUUCUAGAACAUCAUAGCUAGAACACAAAGCAGCUGGGCUACAGCACCUAAUCUAGAACUGGUAGGGUGGAUUUUCUAGAACAAAGACCCAGCUGGGUUAGAAAAUGUAAUAUAGAAUCCCUAGCAGCACCCUUCUAGAAUUGGGGGUCACAACCCUCAGGGGUUGCAAGGUUAUUACAGGGGGGUUGUGAGCUUUCUGCCCCUAUGCAAGGUGGAGCUGACAGCCUGAGCCCUUCCAGACUAGCUCCACCUCCAACCCCGCUCCACCUCCAAUGAAAGGUUGCCAAAGUAGAAGUUUGCCCAGGCACUGUUUUCCCCAAGGCCCACUCUGGGACUGAAACAACAUUAGAGGGCUUGAUUAUUCACUAGCUGAAGAGCUGCAUUAAAUUGCAGACUAAUCAGAAUACUGAGAUCGGCCAAAAAAACCUUAAUUUAUAAUUUAACAGUCAGGCAGGGACAGGGCAGAGGGCUAUAGUCACCCCAAAGUUUACCUUAGCCACCCCUCUCAGCGCAAAGGCAGGGCCAGCUCUGACUUUUUUGCCGCCCCAAGCAAUAAAAAAUAAAAAUAUCAAGGUGGCCAGAAGGGAAAGCAAAAAAAAAAACAAAACAAAAAACAACAAACUGCAGGGCAGCUGGAGCCAGGGUGCAGGGGUACUCCCUGCGCUGCAGAUGUCAGACGUGCCCUGGAGAGCGAGGGGGAGGGAGCUGGGGGGAGAGAGAGGGUGGGCAGCCAGGGCUUCAGGGGGGCCCUCACUACGCGGCCCCGACCGCUGCGCCGCCUGCCGGGAGGGCUCCGCACCGCUCCAGUCGGCGGGCAGGGAA